GAUGAAGAACGUAGCGAAAUGCGAUAAGUAAUGUGAAUUGCAGAAUUCAGUGAAUCAUCGAAUCUUUGAACGCACAUUGCGCCCGCCAGUAUUCUGGCGGGCAUGCCUGUCCGAGCGUCAUUUCAACCCUCAGGGCCCGUCCGCGGGACCUGGCGUUGGGGAUCGGCCGCCCACCGCGGCGGCCGGCCCCGAAAGACAGUGGCGGCUCCCCGCGAACUCCUCUGCGUAGUAGACAUACGACCGCAGCUGGCUGGCGGGGCGGCCACGCCGUAAAACCCCACACUUCUUAAGGUUGACCUCGGAUCAGGUAGGAAUACCCGCUGAACUUAAGCAUAUCAAUAAGCGGAGGA
RNAcentral lists this unclassified non-coding RNA (350 nucleotides) under soil metagenome. RNAcentral's name for it is "partial contains 5.8S ribosomal RNA, internal transcribed spacer 2, and large subunit ribosomal RNA". The stretch from base 1 to 120 matches the Rfam family "5.8S ribosomal RNA", at positions 35 to 154 of the family's 154-position model. The record is from RNAcentral.